AAAAGUAGAAAAUUCAAUUCACAGGUUAUAUAACUACUACAAGGAAAUGAUGCCUCCACCAUCAAAUGAGAUGUCUCAAACUAGUAGUCAAAGUCAACAACCUACUUUGGGUAUUUCUAUACCCAUCCCUUCAAUCUUUAAAGCGAGACUUAAUCGAGAUGCUAGGUUGGAGAAAAAUGAUUUGGUAGAUUACUUGUCUGACCGAUGUGAUGAUUUGACUGAGGAGCCAUUCGACAUUUUGAUGUGGUGGAAAAUAAAUGCUCCUAAGUAUAAGAUUGUCUCCCAAAUUGCCAAAG
RNAcentral lists this long non-coding RNA (296 nucleotides) under Olea europaea (common olive). RNAcentral's name for it is "long non-coding RNA (OEUR_LNC013831)". Lineage: Eukaryota; Viridiplantae; Streptophyta; Magnoliopsida; Lamiales; Oleaceae. The record is from RNAcentral.